AUUGAACGCUGGCGGCGUGCUUUACACAUGCAAGUCGGACGAGUGGCGAACGGGUGAGUAACGCAUCGGCACGUACCGAGUCAUGGGGGAUAACUGUCCGAAAGGACAGCUACUACCGCAUAUUAUUCGAGCGGCCGUUGGCUGAUUGGCUGGUUGGCGGGGUAUAGGCCCACCCAGGCGAAGAUGAGUAGCGGGUCUGAGAGGAGGAUCGGCAACACUGGGACUGAGACACGGCCCAGACUCCUACGUGAGGCAGCAGUGGGGAAUUUUCGACAAUGGGCGAAAGCCUGAUCGAGCCAUGCAGCGGGUCUGAAGAAGGCUGUCGGGUUGUAAAGGACUGUUGUCAGGGAAGCGGUACCUAAAGAGUAAGCAACGGCUAACUACGUGCCAGCAGCCGCGGUAAUAC
Molecule: ribosomal RNA, 406 nt
Filed under: uncultured bacterium
Lineage: Bacteria
Description: partial 16S ribosomal RNA
Rfam family: Bacterial small subunit ribosomal RNA
Source: RNAcentral